Long non-coding RNA from Oncorhynchus tshawytscha (Chinook salmon), 338 nucleotides. The record is from Ensembl. Lineage: Eukaryota; Metazoa; Chordata; Actinopteri; Salmoniformes; Salmonidae.
UAGAGGUUCUGGUACCAUCCUACUACACUACAUACACCACUGAUCCUACUGUAGAGGUACUGGUACCAUCCUACUACAUAUACCACUGAUCCUACUGUAGAGGUUCUGGUACCAUCCUACUACAUACACCACUGAUCCUACUGUAGAGGUUCUGGUACCAUCCUGUUACACUACAUACACCACUGAUCCUACUGUAGAGGUUCUGGUACCAUCCUACUACACUACAUACAUCACUGAUCUACUGUAAUCCGUAGAGGGUUGACAGUCUACUGUAAUCCGUAGAGGGUUGACAGUCUACUGUAAUCCGUAGAGGGUUGACGGUCUACUGUAAUCCGUAG